UACGUAGGGUGCAAGCGUUGUCCGGAAUUAUUGGGCGUAAAGAGCUCGUAGGCGGUCUGUCGCGUCUGCUGUGAAAACUCAGGGCUUAACCCUGAGCUUGCAGUGGGUACGGGCAGACUAGAGUGCGGUAGGGGAGACUGGAAUUUACGGUGUAGCAGUGAAAUGCGUAGAGAUCGUAAGGAAGGCCAGUGGCGAAGGCGAGUUCCUGGACAGUUACUGACGCUGAGGCACGAAGGCCAGGGGAGCAAACGGG
RNAcentral lists this ribosomal RNA (253 nucleotides) under uncultured bacterium. Its description in RNAcentral is "partial 16S ribosomal RNA". It matches the Rfam family "Bacterial small subunit ribosomal RNA", at positions 524 to 776 of the family's 1533-position model. The record is from RNAcentral.